Molecule: ribosomal RNA, 460 nt
Filed under: uncultured bacterium
Lineage: Bacteria
Description: partial 16S ribosomal RNA
Rfam family: Bacterial small subunit ribosomal RNA
Source: RNAcentral
CCUACGGGUGGCAGCAGUGAGGAAUAUUGGUCAAUGGACGAGAGUCUGAACCAGCCAAGUAGCGUGAAGGAUGACUGCCCUAUGGGUUGUAAACUUCUUUUAUCUGGGAAUAAAAUGUUCCACGUGUGGGAUUUUGUAUGUACCAUAUGAAUAAGGAUCGGCUAACUCCGUGCCAACAGUCGCGGGAAUAAGGAGGAUCCGAGCGUUAUCCGGAUUUAUUGGGUUUAAAGGGGGCGUAGGUGGAUUGUUAAGUCAAUUGAGAAAGUUUGGGGAUCAAACGUAAAAUUGCAGUUGAAACUGGCAGUGUUGAGUAGAAUAGAGGUGGGCGGAAUUCGUGGUGUAGCGGUGAAAUGCUUAGAUAUCACGAAGAACUCCGAUUGCGAAGGCAGUUCACUGGACUGCAACUGACACUGAGGCUCGAAAGUGUGGGUAUCAAACAGGAUUAGAUACCCCUGUAGUC